RNAcentral lists this ribosomal RNA (253 nucleotides) under uncultured bacterium. Its description in RNAcentral is "partial 16S ribosomal RNA". It matches the Rfam family "Bacterial small subunit ribosomal RNA", at positions 524 to 776 of the family's 1533-position model. The record is from RNAcentral.
UACGUAGGGGGCAAGCGUUGUCCGGAUUUAUUGGGCGUAAAGAGCGUGUAGGCGGUCUGGUAGGUCCGUUGUGAAAACUCGAGGCUCAACCUCGAGACGCCGAUGGAAACCCUCAGACUAGAGUCCGGAAGAGGAGAGUGGAAUUCCUGGUGUAGCGGUGAAAUGUGCAGAUAUCAGGAAGAACACCCGUGGCUAAGGCGGCUCUCUAGUACGGUACUGACGCUGAGACGCGAAAGCCAGGGGAGCAAACGGG